RNAcentral lists this small nucleolar RNA (74 nucleotides) under Pongo abelii (Sumatran orangutan). Its description in RNAcentral is "Small nucleolar RNA U3 (ENSPPYG00000033609.1)". It matches the Rfam family "Small nucleolar RNA U3", at positions 1 to 74 of the family's 219-position model. From Rfam's summary of the family: Small nucleolar RNAs (snoRNAs) are involved in the processing and modification of rRNA in the nucleolus. The record is from Rfam by way of RNAcentral. Lineage: Eukaryota; Metazoa; Chordata; Mammalia; Primates; Hominidae.
AAGACUAUACUUUCAGGGAUCAUUUCUAUAGUUCAUUACUAGAGAAGUUUCUCUGAAGGUGUAGAGCACUCCCC